GGCUCCAUAGUGUAGCGGUUAGCACAUCUGGUUUACACGCAGAAGGUCCUGGGUUCGUGCCCCAGGUGGAGCCA
This 74-nucleotide transfer RNA is filed under the name Pteropus alecto (black flying fox). It matches the Rfam family "tRNA". Rfam says of the family: Transfer RNA (tRNA) molecules are approximately 80 nucleotides in length. Their secondary structure includes four short double-helical elements and three loops (D, anti-codon, and T loops). Further hydrogen bonds mediate the characteristic L-shaped molecular structure. tRNAs have two regions of fundamental functional importance: the anti-codon, which is responsible for specific mRNA codon recognition, and the 3' end, to which the tRNAs corresponding amino acid is attached (by aminoacyl-tRNA synthetases). tRNAs cope with the degeneracy of the genetic code in two manners: having more than one tRNA (with a specific anti-codon) for a particular amino acid; and 'wobble' base-pairing, i.e. permitting non-standard base-pairing at the 3rd anti-codon position. Lineage: Eukaryota; Metazoa; Chordata; Mammalia; Chiroptera; Pteropodidae. The record is from Rfam by way of RNAcentral.